UUAAAUCAAGCAAACGGACCAAACAAUUGCAAGGAGACAUCCUUGUUAGGCAUUAUGGAAGCUAUACAUACUAAUAUGCAGAUCCUAUUAAAUGUUGCGAUGAGUUUAAGACAAUACUCGAGCGUAAUGAUGGUUCUCU
Glycine soja is the source of this 139-nucleotide long non-coding RNA. RefSeq lists it as uncharacterized. Lineage: Eukaryota; Viridiplantae; Streptophyta; Magnoliopsida; Fabales; Fabaceae. The transcript has 3 exons. The record is from RefSeq and is a predicted model, not a curated record.